UUGUUUUGGCAACACAUAUCCUAAAAUUAGAAUGAAAUGGAGAAGAUUAACAUAGCCCCUGUGAAAGGAUGGCAUGCAAAAUUGUGAAGUGUUUCAUAUCUUG
Small nuclear RNA from Dromiciops gliroides (monito del monte), 103 nucleotides. Lineage: Eukaryota; Metazoa; Chordata; Mammalia; Microbiotheria; Microbiotheriidae. The record is from RefSeq and is a predicted model, not a curated record.